CAGUCGCCGCGGUAAAACCGAGGGUGCAAGCGUUAAUCGGAAUUACUGGGCGUAAAGCGCGCGUAGGUGGUUUGUUAAGUUGGAUGUGAAAUCCCCGGGCUCAACCUGGGAACUGCAUCCAAAACUGGCAAGCUAGAGUAUGGUAGAGGGUGGUGGAAUUUCCUGUGUAGCGGUGAAAUGCGUAGAGAUCUGGAGGAAUACCGGUGGCGAAGGCGGCCCCCUGGACAAAGACUGACGCUCAGGUGCGAAAGCGUGGGGAGCAAACAGGAUUAGAUACCCGUGUAGUCCCUGUCUCUUAUAA
Molecule: ribosomal RNA, 301 nt
Filed under: uncultured bacterium
Lineage: Bacteria
Description: partial 16S ribosomal RNA
Rfam family: Bacterial small subunit ribosomal RNA
Source: RNAcentral